RNAcentral lists this ribosomal RNA (478 nucleotides) under uncultured bacterium. Its description in RNAcentral is "partial 16S ribosomal RNA". It matches the Rfam family "Bacterial small subunit ribosomal RNA", at positions 28 to 523 of the family's 1533-position model. The record is from RNAcentral.
GACGAACGCUGGCGGCGUGCUUAACACAUGCAAGUCGAACGGUAAGGCCCUUCGGGGUACACGAGUGGCGAACGGGUGAGUAACACGUGGGUGAUCUGCCCUGCACUUCGGGAUAAGCCUGGGAAACUGGGCCUAAUACCGGAUAGGACCACUGCCUGCAUGGGUGGUGGUGGAAAGCUUUUGCGGUGUGGGAUGGGCCCGCGGCCUAUCAGCUUGUUGGUGGGGUGAUGGCGUACCAAGGCGACGACGGGUAGCCGGCCUGAGAGGGUGACCGGCGACACUGGGACUGAGAUACGGCCCAGACUCCUACGGGAGGCAGCAGUGGGGAAUAUUGAACAAUGGGCGCAAGCCUGAUGCAGCGACGCCGCGUGAGGGAUGACGGCCUUCGGGUUGUAAACCUCUUUCAGCACCGACGAAGCGCAAGUGACGGUAGGUGCAGAAGAAGGACCGGCCAACUACGUGCCAGCCGCCGCGGUAA